RNAcentral lists this ribosomal RNA (3684 nucleotides) under Triticum aestivum (bread wheat). RNAcentral describes it as "partial small subunit ribosomal RNA". Lineage: Eukaryota; Viridiplantae; Streptophyta; Magnoliopsida; Poales; Poaceae. The record is from RNAcentral.
AUGCCAAGCACGAUCGAUCGAUGCGCCGAUCUCGCCGCGGCUCCAUCAAGUAACCCUAGAACAUCAAAUCUGAAGAAGAACACAACUUGCAGAGACCCGAAGAGCGACCAAACACCAAAGCGAACGACUCCCCGGGAACUACUUGGGCUUCCUCGCGCGUCGCGACCGCCGCCGGCGAUGGAGCCGCGGCCGCCGCCGUCGCCGUCGCCGCCUCAGGCGUCCCCCUCCUCCGCCGUGCGGGUCCUCUCCCGCGCGCCUCCCCCCGCCUCCGCCCCCUCCCCGGCCGCGGCCGCCGCCUCGCCGCCGCACGACGGCGGCGUGGUCGUCGUCGGCUUCGUGGGCGGCGCGGGGGGCGCCGCCGCGCGACUCGCGGACCGGAUCCUCGACGCCCCCGUGUUCUCCCCCGGCGGCUCGGCCAGGACCCUCGCCGGGGGCGUCAGGUACCACCGCGACGCGGACAGGAGGAUGGUCUUCCUCCACCUCGCCUCCCCGCCCCCGCCCCCGCCCCCGCCGCGGGAGCCGGGCGGCGGGAGCACCGGCGGCCUCCCGGAGAUGCUCUUCAUGUUCUCGGUAUGCCAUGUAAUAGUAUUUCUCCAAGAAGGCUUCCGGUUCGACACGCAGAUCUUGAAGAAUUUUAGGCUGCUGCAAUCUUCGAAGCAUGCUUUUGCACCAUUUGUGAGAUCACUAGUAGCACCGGGAACACCAUCCAAAGCUGCCCCUUCUGGCACACCGGGGACACCAUCCAAAGCCACCCCUUCUGGCACCCCGACUCGGCCUACCCGCAGGGCUUCAUCGAUCUCCCCUCCGGCACGCCGUGGAGGUCACUCGGGACGCCAACCCUCAGCCAUCUCGUUGAUGUCAGGAACCGGUUCGCAUGCUUCUGUGUUGCCAGGCCAAUGCAUCCCUGUUGUCCUCUUUGUCUUUGAGGAUGAUAUCAUUGAUGGUCCAAGUGUUGCAACAAGUGUGGAUGAUAUGGGGGAGACAUCUUCAUCAAAUCAGGCUUCUGGCACUUCAAAAGGUUCUGGCUCAGUGGUAAUGCUCGCCCGACCACCCAGCAAAUCUGAGGGUAGUUUCACUAAGAAGCUGCAUUUGUCUCUGGAAGGUCAGAUCCGGUUCUUGCUGAAGAGGUGCCGGACACUAACCGGUCUGGAGUCGUCAGGGCAUAAUGGUCCAAGGGGUGCUGGUAACGUGAGCCAUCUUCCUUUGUUCUCACUUGAUCCAUCCAGAGUUGUUGCCCUGUUGGACCGCUCAAUUAAUAAGAAACAGGAGCCACUGGAUAUCAUCGCAGGACUGUUUGAAGAUUCUUUCAGCUCCAAGUCAUCGUUGGAUGUCGCUUCAUUAGAAAAUAACUGCCAAUGUGCAAACCACGAAGAUGUUCAGUUGAUCAAGGAUUUUAUAUUUCGGCAGUCCGACGGACUGAGAGGGAAAGGCGGGUAUUCAGGCAAUGCGCCUGCUGGCUCUGUUGCUGGUGUUGGUAUGGUGGCUGCGGCAGCAGCUGCAGCAGCUGCGUCCGCAUCAUCUGGGAAGCCAGUUAGUGUUCCUGAUCUUCCUAGUUUUGAUAAAUGGUUCUCUGUUAGUACAUCUAUUCUUUCUGAACUGAUUAGUGCAAAAGAUGGGAUCGAUAAUUCCGAAAGUAUGAGGGGAUCAUCUACUCAUACAAGUUCUAGUUUGAAGAAUGAGCAAUCUAGUGCUAUUGAAACUGCUUUAUCUUGCUUGGAAAGCAACAAGGGGCUUAACAUGAAAUUUUCCUCAUCGUGGUGCCAAAAGGUGCUUCCAGUUGCUAAGGAGGUGUACUUGAAAGACUUGCCUGACUUUUACCCAACUAGCGUGCAUGAAAUGCAGCUACAGAAAGCAUUGCGAUCCUUUCACUCAACAGUCAAAGGACCGGCUGUCAAGGUAUUCUCCAAGAAGCUAGAAGAUGACUGCAAGACAAUCUGGGAAGCUGGAAGGCAGCAAUGCGAUGCUGUCAGCCUUACUGGCAGGCCAUGCAAGCACCAGCGUCAUGGUAAAUUAUCUUCAUCAGAUGCUGUCGAACAGCAUUCUAGUGGUUACGUCUUCCUCCAUGCAUGUGCCUGUGGACGGUCACGUCGCCUUAGAGAUGAUCCUUUUGACUUUGAGACAGCCAAUGUAUCAUUUAACUGCUUCUCCAAUUGUGAAGACCUACUACCCACCCUUGUGCUACCGAGGGGGGUUGAUGCUAGUUCAUUUCCGGCAUCCUCUUGGCGUUUGGUGCGCCUUGGAGGAGCAAGGUAUUACAAGCCAACGAAAGGGUUGCUCCAAGCUGGUUUUUGCUCAAAGGACAAGUAUCUUUUGAAGUGGACAAUAUCUCUUGGCAAAGGACAAGGAAAAAAUGGCACCCAUGCUGCCACUAAAUCUUCCUCCAUGACAUCUAAUGUGAACCCCCAGAUUCCACCUGCUGUUUCCAGAGAAGUAAAGCCCAUUACAAACCAAGUCGCACCAGAAAUUAGAUCUGCGAAGCUUGAAAAUCCCAGAAAACAACCUGAAGUGCAAUCAACGAACAACUCAGCUAUUAGUUUUGGUAAAGGUCAUCCAAAUUUUACUAUGAAAAAGCCUUUUGCUGAAGUUGUUGCUGGCAGCACAACUAAAGAUUCUGAGUUUCCUGCUCUCCAGCUGAAGAGACCACCAAAGCCUGCUAGCCGAAAAGAUGAACGGCAAGUGAGCGUAGCGGAACAGACUAAUGGCCGAACCAAUGCAGCUCUCAGUCAAGGACCUGUAGCUGAAAAUGAAUCUGAGAAGGUGAGCAAAAAUAUGAGUAGUGAAACUGCUGAUGGGAAGCCCUUUCUACAGAUCGGGAGCAACAUGGUGCCAGUUACUGUUGGAAAUGAGACUAAAGAAGCUGCUCAAACCGUACAACAGUUUGUAGUAUAUGUGGGAUUUGAGCAUGAGUGCUCGUACGGUCACCGUUUCUUACUGUCAGAGAAGUAUCUCAAGGAGAUUGAUUAUGAAAGAUCUUAUCAAAACAAUGAAGCAGAAAGUAAGCACAGUUCACAAAAGUUGCCCCCAAAUGCAUCUAAGUCGGCAGCAACUACUGGAAAUGGGAACAAUGGCCGGAAAUCCAAUAGGCCAAUGGAAUCAUCAGGGAGAAAUAGCAGGCAGCAAUUGCUUCAGCCCGGCGUUGACGGAGAGACCUUGCGGUCUGCUCAUAUUCUGUCAGAUGCACAUACUGUCAGAAAGGGAGAACAUUCUCUUCAAUACAUUACAGCUGAUGAUGGUGGAGAAGCAUAUUCACUUUUGAACAGAAAUCUGCCGAUAUAUAUGCACUGCCCACAUUGCAAGAGCUCAGACGGGAAGGGGCAUCAAGAUGUAAAGGCUGCUGGUGCUGUGUCACAACUUCAACGGAUUUUUAUCGUGACGCCUGAUUUCCCUGUCCUGUUGGCUAGCUGCCCACUCGUGCAGUUUGAGAGGUCAUGCCUGCCAUCAAAUGUAUCUGACAGUGAUCAACAAGGGUCGUUCAGCCUUGGAUGCCGAGUUCUCCUUCCACCCGAGAGCUUUCUUACCCUGCGGCUUCCAUUCGUGUACGGUGCCGAGACAAGGGACGGAAGCACAUCCCCCCUCAAACACCUCGAGCAGCAACCGGAGCUCACAGCAUGGCUUGUCGGAGGCACAGCUUUGCAGAUCGUGUCAGCAGGAUACGUCGCCGAGAAAGAAGCCAACGUGUCGUGA